UAUACCCUGGUAGUCCACGCUGUAAACGAUGUCGACUUGGAGGUUGUUCCCUUGAGGAGUGGCUUCCGGAGCUAACGCGUUAAGUCGACCGCCUGGGGAGUACGGCCGCAAGGUUAAAACUCAAAUGAAUUGACGGGGGCCCGCACAAGCGGUGGAGCAUGUGGUUUAAUUCGAUGCAACGCGAAGAACCUUACCUACUCUUGACAUCCAGAGAACUUAGCAGAGAUGCUUUGGUGCCUUCGGGAACUCUGAGACAGGUGCUGCAUGGCUGUCGUCAGCUCGUGUUGUGAAAUGUUGGGUUAAGUCCCGCAACGAGCGCAACCCUUAUCCUUUGUUGCCAGCGGUUCGGCCGGGAACUCAAAGGAGACUGCCAGUGAUAAACUGGAGGAAGGUGGGGAUGACGUCAAGUCAUCAUGGCCCUUACGAGUAGGGCUACACACGUGCUACAAUGGCAUAUACAAAGAGAAGCGACCUCGCGAGAGCAAGCGGACCUCAUAAAGUAUGUCGUAGUCCGGAUUGGAGUCUGCAACUCGACUCCAUGAAGUCGGAAUCGCUAGUAAUCGUGGAUCAGAAUGCCACGGUGAAUACGUUCCCGGGCCUUGUACACACCGCCCGUCACACCAUGGGAGUGGGUUGCAAAAGAAGUAGGUAGCUUAACCUUCGGAGGGCGCUA
This 673-nucleotide ribosomal RNA is filed under the name bacterium LB-123. RNAcentral's name for it is "bacterial SSU rRNA". It matches the Rfam family "Bacterial small subunit ribosomal RNA", at positions 781 to 1455 of the family's 1533-position model. The record is from RNAcentral.